CCCUUAGAUGUUCUGGGCCGCACGCGCGCUACACUGAUGCAUUCAACGAGCCUAUCCUUGACCGUCAGGUCCGGGUAAUCUUUGAAUCUGCAUCGUGACGGGGAUAGAUUAUUGCAAUUAUUAAUCUUCAACGAGGAAUGCCUAGUAGGCGCAAGUCAUCAGCUUGCGUCGAUUACGUCCCUGCCCUUUGUACACACCGCCCGUCGCUCCUACCGAUUGGGUGUGCUGGUGAAAUGUUCGGAUCGGCCGUUUGUCGCGGUUUCCGCGUCAUGUGGCUGAGAAGUUCAUUAAACCCUCCCACCUAGAGGAAGGAGAAGUCGUAACA
This 325-nucleotide ribosomal RNA is filed under the name uncultured eukaryote. RNAcentral's name for it is "partial 18S ribosomal RNA". It matches the Rfam family "Eukaryotic small subunit ribosomal RNA", at positions 1470 to 1796 of the family's 1831-position model. The record is from RNAcentral.